GAUGAACGCUAGCUACAGGCUUAACACAUGCAAGUCGAGGGACCGGCGCACGGGUGAGUAACACGUAUCCAACCUGCCCUUUACUCGGGGAUAGCCUUUCGAAAGAAAGAUUAAUACCCGAUAUAAAGGAUGGGGAUGCGUUCCAUUAGGUGGUUGGUGAGGUCACGGCUCACCAAGCAUUCGCUGGAUAGGGGUUCUGCGAGGAAGGUCGCCCACAUUGGUACUGAGACACGGUCCAAGCGCCUACGGGAGGCAGCAGUGAGGAAUAGUGGGCAAUGGGCGCUAGCCUGAACCAGCCAAGUAGCGUUAAGGAUGAAGGCUUAUGGGUCGUAAACUUCUUUUAUAGAAUAAUAUGGAUUAUAUGAAUAAGGAUCGGCUAACUCCGUGCCAGCAGCCGCGGUAAUA
Molecule: ribosomal RNA, 405 nt
Filed under: uncultured bacterium
Lineage: Bacteria
Description: partial 16S ribosomal RNA
Rfam family: Bacterial small subunit ribosomal RNA
Source: RNAcentral